Molecule: long non-coding RNA, 208 nt
Filed under: Oryza brachyantha (malo sina)
Lineage: Eukaryota; Viridiplantae; Streptophyta; Magnoliopsida; Poales; Poaceae
Description: long non-coding RNA (OBRA_LNC002177)
Source: RNAcentral
GGGUUUAUUGGAGAAUGUGUGGGUGGGUAGUAUGACAUACCGGGUGUUUUCUUUUCUUCGUCGAUGUUGACGUCUAUCAUGUGGGUUUUUCUACGCGUGGUUUGCUUUUAUAUAUUGUCGUGCUUAUGUUAGAUGGUGUGUAAUCGUUAAAUGUAUAUUGUGUCUGAGUUGUAAAUGUGCGUUGAAUAAUAGAUACGCAAGAGUUCGU